AUACUUAUCUGGCAGGGGAGAUUCCGUGAUCAUGAAGGUGGUUUUCCCAGGGUGAGGCUCAUCCAUUGCACUCCGGAUGUGCUGACCCCUGUGAUUUCCCCAAAUGUAGGAACCUCGACUGCAUAAUUUGUGGUAGUGGGGGACUGCAUUCACACUCUCA
Molecule: small nuclear RNA, 160 nt
Organism: Marmota marmota marmota (Alpine marmot)
Lineage: Eukaryota; Metazoa; Chordata; Mammalia; Rodentia; Sciuridae
Gene: U1
Rfam family: U1 spliceosomal RNA
About the family: U1 is a small nuclear RNA (snRNA) component of the spliceosome (involved in pre-mRNA splicing). Its 5' end forms complementary base pairs with the 5' splice junction, thus defining the 5' donor site of an intron. There are significant differences in sequence and secondary structure between metazoan and yeast U1 snRNAs, the latter being much longer (568 nucleotides as compared to 164 nucleotides in human).
Source: Ensembl